RNAcentral lists this ribosomal RNA (325 nucleotides) under uncultured eukaryote. RNAcentral's name for it is "partial 18S ribosomal RNA". It matches the Rfam family "Eukaryotic small subunit ribosomal RNA", at positions 1470 to 1796 of the family's 1831-position model. The record is from RNAcentral.
CCCUUCGAUGUUCUGGGCCGCACGCGCGCUACACUGAUCCGGUCAACAAGUUUACAACCUUUUCCGAAAGGAAUGGGUAAUCUUUUGAAACCGGAUCGUGAUAGGGAUAGAUGAUUGCAAUUAUUUGUCUUGAACGAGGAAUGCCUAGUAGGGUCGGUUCAACAGAUCGACCCGAUUACGUCCCUGCCCUUUGUACACACCGCCCGUCGCUCCUACCGAUCGAAGAGUUAGGUGAAUUGUUUUGAUCGAUAAGAUUUGACUAUGGUCAACUCUCGUUGUGAAAUUCUGUGAAUCUGACUGUUUAGAGGAAGGAAAAGUCGUAACA